AGAUAGUGACACAUGUUCCCAAUAUCUUAGAAAUGCUAGUAAGGCGAUUAGCAAUUGGGUUGCCCUUCGAGUUGAAUUAAGUUUUAUUAAAAUAGGACGCUAGACGAAUUACUGUGUAGCAUCCAAUCAGGACUGUCUUAUUAAUUAAGGUUAAGCAUUAGUACCGCCAAACUAGACUGGGUUAAAGUGUUUUAUAAUUUUGGCGUUAGUCCAAGCUAUAGAAAGAAAACGGCC
Molecule: long non-coding RNA, 234 nt
Filed under: Elaeis guineensis (African oil palm)
Lineage: Eukaryota; Viridiplantae; Streptophyta; Magnoliopsida; Arecales; Arecaceae
Description: long non-coding RNA (EGUI_LNC007006)
Source: RNAcentral